Molecule: ribosomal RNA, 253 nt
Filed under: uncultured bacterium
Lineage: Bacteria
Description: partial 16S ribosomal RNA
Rfam family: Bacterial small subunit ribosomal RNA
Source: RNAcentral
UACGUAGGGGGCGAGCGUUGUCCGGAGUGACUGGGCGUAAAGAGCGCGCAGGCGGUUUUGUAAGCCAGAUGUGAAAUCCCCGGGCUUAACCUGGGAAUGGCAUUUGGGACUGCAAGGCUUGAGUGCGGCAGAGGAGACUGGAAUUCCUGGUGUAGCAGUGAAAUGCGUAGAUAUCAGGAGGAACACCGAUGGCGAAGGCAGGUCUCUGGGCUGACACUGACGCUCAUGCACGAAAGCGUGGGGAGCAAACAGG